This 340-nucleotide unclassified non-coding RNA is filed under the name soil metagenome. RNAcentral's name for it is "partial contains 5.8S ribosomal RNA, internal transcribed spacer 2, and large subunit ribosomal RNA". The stretch from base 1 to 120 matches the Rfam family "5.8S ribosomal RNA", at positions 35 to 154 of the family's 154-position model. The record is from RNAcentral.
GAUGAAGAACGCAGCGAAAUGCGAUAAGUAGUGUGAAUUGCAGAAUUCAGUGAAUCAUCGAAUCUUUGAACGCACAUUGCGCCCCUUGGUAUUCCAUGGGGCAUGCCUGUUCGAGCGUCAUUUGUACCCUCAAGCUAUGCUUGGUGUUGGGUGUUUGUCCUCUCCUUUGCGAUUGGACUCGCCUUAAAGACAUUGGCAGCCAGUGUAUUGGUCUUGAAGCGCAGCACAUUUUGCGAUUCUUGCUGAUAAUCACUAGCGUCCAGUAAGCCUAUUUUAACACUUUUGACCUCGGAUCAGGUAGGGAUACCCGCUGAACUUAAGCAUAUCAAUAAGCGGAGGA